GAUGAACGCUGGCGGCGUGCCUAAUACAUGCAAGUCGAGCGAACAGACGAGGAGCUUGCUCCUCUGACGUUAGCGGCGGACGGGUGAGUAACACGUGGAUAACCUACCUCUAAGACUGGGAUAACUUCGUGAAACCGGAGCUAAUACCGGAUAAUAUAUUGAACCGCAUGGUUCAAUAGUGAAAGACGGUUUUGCUGUCACUUAUAGAUGGAUCCGCGCCGCAUUAGCUAGUUGGUAAGGUAACGGCUUACCAAGGCAACGAUGCGUAGCCGACCUGAGAGGGUGAUCGGCCACACUGGAACUGAGACACGGUCCAGACUCCUACGGGAGGCAGCAGUAGGGAAUCUUCCGCAAUGGGCGAAAGCCUGACGGAGCAACGCCGCGUGAGUGAUGAAGGUCUUCGGAUCGUAAAACUCUGUUAUUAGGGAAGAACAAAUGUGUAAGUAACUAUGCACGUCUUGACGGUACCUAAUCAGAAAGCCACGGCUAACUACGUG
This 497-nucleotide ribosomal RNA is filed under the name uncultured bacterium. Its description in RNAcentral is "partial 16S ribosomal RNA". It matches the Rfam family "Bacterial small subunit ribosomal RNA", at positions 28 to 507 of the family's 1533-position model. The record is from RNAcentral.